UCUCCGUAGGUGAACCUGCGGAGGGAUCACUACAGGCUUGCAAAAGCUCUGAAACCACUGUUUAUCUACCUGAUUCUGCUUCGGCGGGCGGCCCCAGGGCGGGGCCGUAGCCACCAGGCGACCGCCGAAGACCCCUCAACUCUGUAGUUUUGAGACUGUCUGAGUAAUUAUAUUAAACAAAAAAAACUUUCAACAACGGAUCUCUUGGCUCUG
RNAcentral lists this unclassified non-coding RNA (213 nucleotides) under plant metagenome. RNAcentral's name for it is "partial contains small subunit ribosomal RNA, internal transcribed spacer 1, and 5.8S ribosomal RNA". The record is from RNAcentral.